GAGAAAAUAUAUAUCACCAACAUACAGAAAAUGCCCCUGAGAAAUAGGCUGCACUUCCAGGAAAAACUGGUGACCAGUAACUGCACAAUCGGCACAUGAUCUGCUCAACUUUCCUACAAUUGGGCAACUGCCAAGAACCAAGCUGGAAGGCAUAGUCAGCAGAGAGACAAAUAAUGUGAGGCAACUCUAACAAUCUCCACCUUGACUCACAUUUAGUAGAUUCUCGUCAUUACCAUAAAAGCCUCGAAGGGCAAUCAAGUGUUGUAAACACCAGCUAAG
This 279-nucleotide long non-coding RNA is filed under the name Capsicum annuum. RNAcentral's name for it is "long non-coding RNA (CANN_LNC009160)". Lineage: Eukaryota; Viridiplantae; Streptophyta; Magnoliopsida; Solanales; Solanaceae. The record is from RNAcentral.